Long non-coding RNA from Asparagus officinalis (garden asparagus), 1111 nucleotides. RefSeq lists it as uncharacterized. The transcript has 3 exons. Lineage: Eukaryota; Viridiplantae; Streptophyta; Magnoliopsida; Asparagales; Asparagaceae. The record is from RefSeq and is a predicted model, not a curated record.
CUCUUUCUCUUCAAACUCUUUCUUUUAGAACUCCUCCAAACCCAUAACUCCCCUCAAUUAGAAUCCUUAAACCCCUCAAACUCUUGUUAUUAAAACCUCCAUAAACAAAAUUCGGAAAAUAUCUCCUUCUCACCCCCUUGGCUGAAAUCCCUCUCCAAGCUCUUGGGGUCUUUGCAUUGAGUUCUUCUUCCUCAAGUUUGAGUUGCCAAGCUCUUGAUUUGGGUUAGCCUUGCCUUCACGACGAUCGCGCUUCCAUAGGAGUCGCUCCAUUUCUCAACAUGAUGAGAAGGAGGCUCCUGUAGUUUCUUCACAUGGGGUUGAGUUCCCGCCGGGUAGCUUCCCACUUCACACGAUGAGUGGUUGUAGCCAAGAGACUUUCACCACUAAUGUUGAUAAGCUGUAUAUUGGUUCGACUUCUCAGGGGAACUCUUGCGAGAGGAAGAUAGUGAGACCUGCAAUCAACAUAAUAUCUGACAAUGAGGAGAGAGAAAAGCUCGUUGCUAUAAUUUUGCCUGACUAGGAAUCUGCUUUCCCGGUAUCUGGAUUCGUGCAGGGUCUCCUCCAAAAAUUUGAGAAAUCUAUGUAACAAAUAGCCUCCGCCAUUAGUUUUGGGCGGGGAAAAUUUUAUGAUUUGCUCUCCUUCGUAGCGGAUAGUCUUAAGGAUAUUCAGUGUGUGGGCGGUAUCUAGCUGGCUAGGCGAUGCAAGCAAAAGCUUACUCGCUUAGAGGAACUUAUGUAUCACUUGCAAGAGCUGGUAUACUCCGAUCCACGCGAUGAAGCCACGCCACUCAUGAUUGAUGCUUAGAUUCAGAGGAUGCACGAGCGUAAAGCCCGAGUGAAACGCAUAUCGAAGCAAGAAGUUAUCUUCGUGAAUUUGUAUGAGCGGAAACAUCAUCUGCAAACUAAGAUAGAUGUUUAUAACAACAUUGCUGAUCGUACGGGGGUCAGGACCGCCCAAGGGGAGAGGACCCUAAAGGAUUUUGAGCUCGAGAGUACCAGAUUUCAAAGUGCUUAUAGAGGAGAGUUGGAAGCUCUCCAUGCACUACGUCGAGAAGACACAGCCGCCGACACUACCGCCGUUCUUGCUGAUGCCAAACUCCAGAUGGAAGAG